This 491-nucleotide ribosomal RNA is filed under the name uncultured bacterium. RNAcentral describes it as "partial 16S ribosomal RNA". It matches the Rfam family "Bacterial small subunit ribosomal RNA", at positions 29 to 506 of the family's 1533-position model. The record is from RNAcentral.
AGUGAACGCUGGCGGUAGGCCUAACACAUGCAAGUCGAACGGCAGCACAGUAAGAGCUUGCUCUUACGGGUGGCGAGUGGCGGACGGGUGAGGAAUACAUCGGAAUCUACUUUUUCGUGGGGGAUAACGUAGGGAAACUUACGCUAAUACCGCAUACGACCUACGGGUGAAAGCAGGGGAUCCUCGGACCUUGCGCGAUUGAAUGAGCCGAUGUCGGAUUAGCUAGUUGGCGGGGUAAAGGCCCACCAAGGCGACGAUCCGUAGCUGGUCUGAGAGGAUGAUCAGCCACACUGGAACUGAGACACGUUCCAGACUCCUACGGGAGGCAGCAGUGGGGAAUAUUGGACAAUGGGCGCAAGCCUGAUCCAGCCAUACCGCGUGGGUGAAGAAGGCCCUCGGGUUGUAAAGCCCUUUUGUUGGGAAAGAAAAGCAGCAGGUUAAUACCCCGCUGUUCUGACGGUACCCAAAGAAUAAGCACCGGCUACCUUCGU